CCUACGGGAGGCAGCAGUGAGGAAUAUUGGUCAAUGGACGAGAGUCUGAACCAGCCAAGUAGCGUGAAGGAUGACUGCCCUAUGGGUUGUAAACUUCUUUUAUAUGGGAAUAAAAUGUUCCACGUGUGGGAUUUUGUAUGUACCAUAUGAAUAAGGAUCGGCUAACUCCGUGCCAGCAGCCGCGGUAAUACGGAGGAUCCGAGCGUUAUCCGGAGUUAUUGGGUUUAAAGGGAGCGUAGGUGGAUUGUUAAGUCAGUUGUGAAAGUUUGCGGCUCAACCGUAAAAUUGCAGUUGAAACUGGCAGUCGUGAGUACAGUAGAGGUGGGCGGAAUUCGUGGUGUAGCGGUGAAAUGCUUAGAUAUCACGAAGAACUCCGAUUGCGAAGGCAGCUCACUGGACUGCAACUGACACUGAGGCUCGAAAGUGUGGGUAUCAAACAGGAUUAGAUACCCCAGUAGUC
Molecule: ribosomal RNA, 460 nt
Filed under: uncultured bacterium
Lineage: Bacteria
Description: partial 16S ribosomal RNA
Rfam family: Bacterial small subunit ribosomal RNA
Source: RNAcentral